UAUCCAUUACCGGAUAGUUCAAAUUUUUUGUGUUCAAACUUAAAAUUGCAGAGAUAUUGAUAUUUGAAAACAUAAGAAACUUGAGCAGUUGUUCUAUUUGAACAUUGAAAUUCUUAAAAUUCAAAUGUAUGGAUCUUGUGAUGGGAUUUAUAGGUCCUGAAAAGUGCUUUAUAUUGUAUUAAAAGUUGAAUCCUUUAUUUUUUUUUAUGGUUUAUCUGAUUUAAAUAGCAGAGCGAUGAUGAUUAAAUGAUUUUAAAUGAUAAAAACAACAUCCAAUUACUGGUUAACAUUAAUAAUAAAAGUUCUACUAAGUCACUAAACCAAUAAACCAAUAGAAGAACUACUCCAUUUCAAAAGCAAAUGUUUUCAUCCAUUUUUAAAAGGACAUCUUCAGGCUGGUGUUCCAAAUUCAAACCACACAUUUUAAAUGGACCUUAAUCUCUGUUGCUGAUUGGAGGAUAGUUGACAGUUGCUGAUUGGUGGAAAGAAUGCCUUGACCGACAAACAAAUAGAAAUGAUUGAAUCAAAUGUAGCAUCAUUUAUCAAGAAUCAGAUUGACAUUACAAGAAGUGUACUGCCAUUACAAACAGCAAUGUUGGAACCAAAUAUUACUACUAUACCACAAAUGAUUUAUCCAGAUAUUGUUAAUGUAAUAACUAUUGGUAAAGAUAGACCAAAUAAUAAUUUAUUUUCUGCAGAACUUUGUUGUGGAACACAUCUACAUAACACCAGUCAUGUGAGUUCAUUUGUAAUUACUUCUCAAAGAAAAGUAAGCCAAACUGAGAGAUUGCUACAUGUCGUAACAGGAAAACAAGCACAGUCAGUUAUUGGAUUUGGAAAUAGGUUAAUAGAAGAAGUUCUACAAAUGGAAAAAAUUGUUGAAAAAGAAGAAUUAAAGCAAGUAGAUAAUAUAGAACCGGAUAUAAUGAAAUCUGUAAUUGUGGAUAUAAAGCAAGAGAGAAAAACAUUGAGAGAUUGUCUUGUACCCCUACGAAAGCAAAUGACAAUAUAUGAAAAAAUAGACACAAUUGAAAGGAAAAUUAAAAGUUUAAUUAGAAGAUACACAAAGACCAAAGGAAUACAAAAGAUGCAAGAUGAAAUCAGGAAGGCCAUGCAAAAUGAUAAAAACUAUUUUGUACAUAAAAUAGAAACUGUUGGGGAUGAAAAUCAACUAAUAAAAGCAGCAGUUGAGACAUUUGGUAAUAAACCAGUAAUGUUUUUUGUACCUAAUCUAGGAAAUAAUCAAGUAUUGUGUCAAUGCCUGGUUCCACCGGUAAGUAUUUUUUCAGUUGUCAUCUCAUCAUUAGUUUGAAUUUUAAUAUUUCACAGCCAGUAACUAUCUCCAAAAAUUUCCAAAUAAGAAACACAACAAACUUUUACAAUGUCCACGAGCAAAGUUGGCACAUGUGGCGUUGCAGUAUAAAACUGUAAUAUCAUGUUUUUAACAAUGCUUACAAACACAGUUGACAAGUGAUAAACAUUCUCAGAUUUUUACAAAAUUUCUUUGACAUUAACAUACAUUUUGUUAUUAUACUGUGUAUGUUUUUUAUGGCAGAGCUCAGGACAUUCUUAUUAACACAUUCAUUGUUCCCAUAGCAGAAGAGUUAAUUUAAUUUACAUUUUUAAAUUAAUUUACUGUAUAGUGAUCAUUCCUUUGUUGUUGUUAGGAUUAUGUACUAAAUACAGAAAUGUGAAGAAUUGAAUAAUUUUAAUUUGUGAAAAGCAUAUUAUACAGGAAAUCUCAGAACUUCAGUGGUUAAGCAUGGUAAAAGAAACCUAUUAUAUCAACUCUCAAGUGUAGGAGAGGUAUGUUUGCUAUCCAUGCAUAUUUAGACUCCUAAUAGAAACACUAAGUUGGUCAACUGAAGUUCUUGGGUGUUAAGAUGAUUAAUGUAUAACUGGUGACUUGAUGUAUUUAUAUUUUGGAGUUCACUGGCUUCUUGAAUGAUGAUCCUGAAGAAAGUGGAUUUAGACUGUGUAUGCUUUGAAAACUGUUCUGAAUUUAUACAAAAAACAGUAAGCCAAGAAUCUGAUCUUUGUUUCUUUGAGCAAUAAAAAGAGAGAUGUGUCACAUCCACAUUCAGUGCCAAGACUUGGAUGGCUUCGGUGUUGGAGGUAUUGGAUGGCGAAGGAAAUUCAAAAAAACAAAAUCCGGAACAUUUCUUUUCCAUGACAGGAAAGAAA
This is an RNA transcript of Centruroides sculpturatus (bark scorpion), 2184 nucleotides long. It is a transcript of the gene named alanine--tRNA ligase, mitochondrial-like, with no coding region annotated. The record is from RefSeq and is a predicted model, not a curated record. Lineage: Eukaryota; Metazoa; Arthropoda; Arachnida; Scorpiones; Buthidae. The transcript is spliced from 8 exons.